GCAAAUAGAAUAUGCUAGUAACAGUUUUCAAGCAGAUAAAUCAUAGCUAGUAAUUGCUGUUAACGCAAUAACCUGACAGUAUAUUACAGAGUAAACACCAUUAUUUAGGAUGUGUAAUUAACCCACACAUUUAGAAAUAGCAGAUGCUAUGAUAACAAAGCUAAUUCAAUAGAGAAAGUCAAAUGGAACUGCUUGACUACUUUUUAUUUUUGGUGUAAAGAGGAAGGGAUAGAAGAAGCUGAACAAAUUUUGGAUUUUAUAGGCACUUUGUAAUCUAUUAGCCUUUUAUGUUUUUUCUCUUGUUGGAAACCAAUUUUUGGAGGUGAGGUCUCCAGCAUAUCCUUAAUGAUGAUGAAUACAACAUUACCUUUAUCCAAAAAAAAAAAAGAUUAACCCACACAUCAUUCAUUGCACUCAUUUGGUUUAUUCAAAACCAAAAGCACAUCCUCAUAAAGUUAAACCACUGUUUCUAGUGAAAUCUUCCUGUAC
This 489-nucleotide long non-coding RNA is filed under the name Solanum tuberosum (potato). Its description in RNAcentral is "long non-coding RNA (STUB_LNC008688)". The record is from RNAcentral. Lineage: Eukaryota; Viridiplantae; Streptophyta; Magnoliopsida; Solanales; Solanaceae.